GUCCUUGCCGUCGGCGCCGCCCAGGGUGAACUCCGCCAGCGUGACGGGCGGCGCCCCGCCCAGGGAGCAGCUCGCGGCGCCGCUGCAGUCGCCCGUGGCGCACGAGAGGCGGCCGGCGGGGGACGACGACGACGCGACGCAGCCCGUGCGCGCCCACAGGCGGCCCGACCAGCCCGCCGGCGCCGGGAACGAGACGGUGGCGCCGGGCGACAGCUCGAAGCCCCCGCCCCCGACGGCCGCCGCGCUGUUCCCGGACAGUGUGGCCGGCCAGACCGUGUGGGUGCAGUUGUUGUGCAGCGUGAACACCGUCGUGCCGGCGGCCUCCGCGCCGAACAUCGCCCGCGACAGCCAGAUUACCCCUGCGUAUAGUAUAUGCAGACAUCAGCAGUUCAGCACGGCGUGCGACAACGUUUUGUUUGCGGUAUGGAUACGGCAGAUGAGCUUGCGAAUGUACCAGCGAGGAGUAGAAGGCUUGCAACUCGUAUGGCUCCCAUGGAAACGGGUUGGUUGGAGCUAGGGCUUGACGAGAGGAACCGGCAAUGGGCCAAUGGCAGACGUGGACAAUGUGCGGUGGAAAUAGCUGGAGCUGGAAGAGGAAUGUGCAGGCAGUAAGACUGCUGA
This 621-nucleotide unclassified non-coding RNA is filed under the name Zea mays. RNAcentral describes it as "misc RNA Zm00001eb399540". Lineage: Eukaryota; Viridiplantae; Streptophyta; Magnoliopsida; Poales; Poaceae. The record is from RNAcentral.